This 24-nucleotide small nuclear RNA is filed under the name Arabidopsis thaliana (thale cress). RNAcentral describes it as "snRNA_08623". Lineage: Eukaryota; Viridiplantae; Streptophyta; Magnoliopsida; Brassicales; Brassicaceae. The record is from RNAcentral.
AAUGCUUUGUUCUGUUUUGUUUCU